GAGCCUGGCACAGUAGCCACAAGGAGGAAAGCAGCUUAAGAAUUAAGCCCACCGUUGGUGGGGAUGUAAAAUGGUGUAGCAGCAAUGGAAAAGUCCGGUGGUUCCUCAAAAAAUUAAAGAUACAAUUACCAUAUGAUCCAGCAACUCCAUCUCUAGUUAUGAUCUAAGUCAUCCCCGCUGCCAUAUUGUACUUGAAAGAAGACAUUACCAUCAGCUUCCAGAAAACCAACCAGGGGAGCUUCCAGUCCAGCACCUUCCUCUCCAUCAGGUACAGUAUUGGAUUUGUCCAAAAAAGAGAUCAUCCUGUGGAUGACCCAUUCCGAUCCCUAACCUUCAACACUUCUUAACCCCUGGACUCCAGUGAACUCCACCUACCCAUUCCGGGCCGCACCCUAGACUUUGGAGGUCACCACACAGAACCUCCAAAACUCUAUGCUCUGCUCCUAUUGUGACUUGGUUAAAUUAACAUUUGUUAAGUGGAGCACAGGGUGUCAGAUGGUGAGCCACGGUUCAACGAGAGACCACAGGGAAAUUUAAAGAGGAAAGUUUAUGGCUCACAAGUCCUGGAAGAAGUUCACGGCGUACCCUGAGUGGCCACACAGGGAGGUCAAGGCAGAGUACAGACAGAGAGAGCAGCGGAAUCAGGGGGACGUGCCUUCAUUAGGGUCCAUGGGUGGAGUGCUUUGGAGGUCCUGGCCAGGGCUGGAAAGCCAUCCCAGUGACUUCAUCCAACCCCACGUGUGCACGAAAGAGUUGAUUCAGCAGGUCUGGGAUCUUCAAACCCUGCACAUUCCAAAGAAAGUUCUGGCCCUUGCCUGUCUCAUAGAAGACAACCUCUAAGCUCUUAGAAUAUCCUGCUGAGAGCAUCCUGGUCAGGAGAGAACGCCACCUGCAGAGACAACAGUAUGAAAAACUCUACCCACUACACUACUCUACACUGCACCACGCAACUGAGUCCCUCAUCCCCAAAUAGGUACUCCAGGCCCCCCUCGGAGACACUGCGUGUUCAGUUCCAGGCCACCACAAUAAAAUGAAUGUCGCAAUAAAGUGUACCUCAGAGAUGUUGCAAGUUCGGUUCCAGACAACCACAAUAGAGUGAAUAUUGCAAUAAA
Molecule: long non-coding RNA, 1112 nt
Filed under: Equus caballus (horse)
Lineage: Eukaryota; Metazoa; Chordata; Mammalia; Perissodactyla; Equidae
Description: lncRNA (ENSECAG00000060350.1)
Source: RNAcentral